CCAGGGUUUUUGCAAUUAGGCAUAGUGAUUGAAUUAGUUAACUUUGGAGAGAUGUGUUGGAGUCACCUAGACUUGUGAUCCGAAGCCUCCGUCUCUGGGAUGCCACAGUCUGACACGGGUUUGUAACCAGGAAGCAACUGUGUGCAGAGAGAGAGAGAGAGGGGUAGGUGAGGGCAUGAAUGCAUUGCAUAUGCUUUCUCUUCCCCUAUCUACAGGUACUUGAGCCCUGAUUUUUCAGCAUCACCGUGAGUAUUGUGACCAUAACGCCAGCACAAGGGAAAUGAAAAUGGGUCUUAAUAAUAUCAUUUGGGUCUGGAAUCUAGUUGUGCCCCAAAGCCAGCGUCUAUCCUGGGCAUUUCUGAAAAAGAGGCUUCUCUCUAUUUCUCUCUUUCUUUUUUGAUUUAAGUCAGUUCGAGUUGAGGUUUUAGUCCCAUGCAAGAGAAGGAGUUGUAAUUGACACAGGAGCUUUGCACUGCCAGUAAAUUGCUUUGUUUUGCAGAAUGCAAAGCCAAGCUUCAAGAAGAGAGAAAAGAAGUGCUGGAUGGCUCCUUUUUGAUUCUAGUUUCUUAUUUAUUUCUUGUUUUGUUGUUUUUGUAAGGAACAUAUAAGAAACUCUCCAACUGAAUGCCACAUGGUGCCUAGAUUCUGAUCCUUCUGCAGCAAAAACGUUUUUCUGUUCUCUGGAUCAUUCCUGGGUACUGUAGUUCUAGAAAUGAAGACAUGGAGAGGGCUGGCUGGAGUCAAAUUAAAAAAAAAAAAAAAGCAACCUGAAGGGGGUAGAAAUGAUCAAAGCAAAGAAAAAAGAGUGAAAUAUCCUAAUCUGAAGAUGAUUUCGUUUUCCAAAAGCUCCUAGCAAAUUGAGAAGGCAGCCGAAGGAAAGGCUUGUUUGGGAAGGUAUGCAUCAAAUAAAAGCAACAGCCAUGAAAACAGAAGGUCUGUCUUCUAAAAUGGAUUCCUGGCAGUGAAACUCACUGGCUAUAGCCAGCCCAGACUGAACUCCUUUCUUCAUCCUUGAAUGAAUCACUAUGGUCCCAGGGAUGUGAUGCUGUGCUUGGUCAGACUUGAGUCACCUGUCCACUUCUGGAUCUAUGGAGAUGAUGGACAUCACCCUGCUGAGAUUGUGGAAAGAGCAGUACGGGGAAAAUCAGGAUGGAAAAGAGGAAUGAAUGGAAGUCAGGCAGGAAAUGUGUCUCUUUCUGAGAAGAUGGAUGCUCCCCCCAAAAAUAAAGCAUGUGGAAGGUAAAUCGGUGUUUUUGGAUGGAUGCCUUGUUGGAAGAAGACAAGAGGGUGGUCAUGCCAUUCUUACCUGACUUUCCCUUCUUCCGCUUGAUAGUCCGCCUUCAGAAGCAGGUGGAGUCCAAUUCUCAAUCAAUGGAAGGGCCCUUACAGAGCUCCACCUGUAUUAGCAGAACAUGGACUGCCUGAUGCCUUUUAAAGAUAAGCUUCCUGCUGCCGCUUUGCAACGGUUUACAAGCUGCAACCCUUAUGAAAUGUACUUCCACAAGCACGUCCCAAGGUCUUGUUCAAGAAAAUGGCAGCGGUGUUUCAUGAAAUACAGAUGACCUCAUAGGAUUGUUGUAAGAUUUAAGAGUUUAAAAUGAAUGCUUCCCGUCAUGUCUGGCCCAGACGUGCCCUUCCUUCCUUUGCGUCCCGGAUGAUUCUCUGCCACCAUCCAAGAUUCUCAGGCAAAGCGGAGUGGCUCUUCCUCAUGCACCCAGAGCAUUCCCUGCCUUUCUGAAUAACAGCCCAUGGUGAUUAUGCAGCUGCUUCUGUACUAGACUGUGAGUAUGCUCAUGUGGGGAAGCAAGUCUUAUUCAACUUUGUACCCUAUGGCACCUGCCACGGUGGCCAGCACAGAGUAGACCU
Herpailurus yagouaroundi (jaguarundi) is the source of this 1866-nucleotide long non-coding RNA. RefSeq lists it as uncharacterized. Lineage: Eukaryota; Metazoa; Chordata; Mammalia; Carnivora; Felidae. The transcript is spliced from 6 exons. The record is from RefSeq and is a predicted model, not a curated record.